GACAUAUUUAGUUUAAGAUGUCUGCUGGAGUGCUUGAUACAAAGAAGAUGAGCAUGGCCUCUUUACAAGGAUGACAUGUAAAUCCAUGAAGUGUUCCUUGUUUUC
This is a small nuclear RNA of Vombatus ursinus (common wombat), 105 nucleotides long. The record is from Ensembl. NCBI's taxonomy places the organism in Eukaryota, Metazoa, Chordata, Mammalia, Diprotodontia, Vombatidae.